CAAACAACAUUCCCCUCCUUCAGUGCCUUGAAAGUGGUGUCAUUCAGUAGUGGAUCAGUCAUCAACACCAUGGACCUUAGCUUUGUGGGUACACUUGCUCCUAAUAACAUUCAGAUUACAAGCGCUUUGAUCAAAGUAGCUUCAAGCGUCAGCGGCUUCGACAUUGAAGGCAGCUCCAUCAGCGUGAAUGGCAUCUCUUCGGAUGGAGUAAUCCACAAAAUCAGUCUUGUCACUGCAUCCUGCCUGGUACUGUUGUCAUGGCUAUUGUAAAGCAAGCAAUAACAUCUGUGCUGAUUCCAU
This is a long non-coding RNA of Etheostoma spectabile (orangethroat darter), 300 nucleotides long. RefSeq lists it as uncharacterized. The transcript has 3 exons. Lineage: Eukaryota; Metazoa; Chordata; Actinopteri; Perciformes; Percidae. The record is from RefSeq and is a predicted model, not a curated record.